RNAcentral lists this transfer RNA (71 nucleotides) under Camelus bactrianus (Bactrian camel). It matches the Rfam family "tRNA". Rfam says of the family: Transfer RNA (tRNA) molecules are approximately 80 nucleotides in length. The record is from Rfam by way of RNAcentral. RNAcentral also lists the same sequence under 3 other names. Lineage: Eukaryota; Metazoa; Chordata; Mammalia; Artiodactyla; Camelidae.
GAGGGUAUAGCUCAGUGGUAGAGUGCAUGCUUAGCAUGCACGAGGUCCUGGGUUCAAUCCCCAGCACCUCA